Nylanderia fulva is the source of this 334-nucleotide non-coding RNA. NCBI's taxonomy places the organism in Eukaryota, Metazoa, Arthropoda, Insecta, Hymenoptera, Formicidae. The record is from RefSeq and is a predicted model, not a curated record.
CAAUAUGCUGAUGAGCCAGAACUAAAUGAUGACACUAAUACGGCUGUUAUGACUUUAAUACAAUCGUUUCCAGUCGUUACAGAGCAGGAAUUAAUGUCGAUGGAAGAAUGGCUAUCGAGUUCAGCUGAUAACAUACAUGCACUGAGUCAUUAACUGCGUUUAAUUGGAGGCACAGAUCUUCCCCAUGUAAUCAAAGCCAUUAUGUCGAGAGCAAUUUCAAAUGAAGUUGGAAUGCUAUAUUCCUGGGAGGGAGCUCGGCAAAAAAAAGCUUUUAAAUCGCUAAAGUUCGUCCAAGUGAUCAUUGGUGUUGUUCGACUGAACUCCAAGACAAAAU